Non-coding RNA from Callithrix jacchus (white-tufted-ear marmoset), 6269 nucleotides. NCBI's taxonomy places the organism in Eukaryota, Metazoa, Chordata, Mammalia, Primates, Cebidae. The record is from RefSeq and is a predicted model, not a curated record.
UCUCCCAAGCGGUUGUGAUUUGAAGCAGAUUUUGUCUCAGUUAAACCUAUAUUUUAAAGAGCAUCUUGUUGUUGUGAAGCAUCUGAAUAUGGUUGCAUGCUUUUCUUAACGCUUCCCUUUGUACAAAGUAGAGACAAACAUCAGUGGUCAAAUGCUCUUUAUUGAAUUACCUGUUGCAGGAGACCAGCACCAUUAAAGUGGGGUCUCUAUUUUACACAGCUGUUUAACGGCAUGAGAUGGAUGAACUCAUUUGUUAAAUUGGGAUCUGUAAACAAAAACAAAUGGGAGGAAGAGAGACAGAGACAAUGAGUAAUGGAAACACAGUUUCCAGACUGCAGAAGCCAGAGCUUUACUAGAAAAUAUCUGCAGCCCUGAGGAAAGGCUUUCCGGGGUCCCUGUGACUGUUACCUAGCAACAAGCCCAUCGUGCAGGGCACAGUGGAGUCCAGUUUAGCGGGGCUCAGGAAAAACACGUGAGUAACAGCACGAAAUUUCUUCUUUUAUACUAUGUUAAUGACUCAGGUCCAUGACAGGCUCUUACAGGGGUGAGUGUCUGAAGAAAUCACCCCUGAAUAAUGCUUUCCCCAUGUUAAGUCCCUAAAGGAGAAAAAUGGCUUUAGCUUAAUUUACUGUGCACAUGUCAUUACUUAUUUGUCCGUAUAUCCAUCUGAUAAGAGCUAAAUAUACCAUAUGAAAAAGAAAAUCAUCCAAGCUUAAAUUAGUUUUGAUGCAUGGUGUAAGGCUCUAAGACCCGUCCAAAUUCAUUCCUAAUAGCAAAUGAAGUCUGUAUCACAGAUUUAGUUAUUAUUAAUUUUUUGGCUUUAGAAAUUGCUUUUAAGCAAAUGACUGCAUUUUUUUCAGGUUUGCCCUCUUUCUUCUAUUAGGGUGUUAAUCUGAGCUGACUGGAUUGCUUUUCUGUCAUCUGUUUUUGCCUAAGAUUUGUCAGGAAAAGAAGUAUGUUUCCAGAGUACAGUAUUUUAACAAUGCAAUUAUGCCGAUGGUCUUUCUUAUGUAACAAUAUCCCCCUUUUAAAAAAAUGCUCAGUGCUUUUCUAAUUUUGCUUCUCUUUACCUUUAACUAAGUCAGGCUAAGACAUGCAUUAGCCAGAAGCAGGACAGUAAACCAAAUUACUUGAUCUCAGGUCUAGAUUUUCAUUGGUUGAACUGUGUUUGUUGGUUUGUUUUUCAAAUAUAUUGAGGCUGUAGAAACUCAUUUGCCUGGAAUUAUGUCCUGAAAUCCCAAAGUUCUGCAGAUAAUGAAGGUAGGACAUAGAACUUACUUAAAAGGCCAUUUUGGUCCAAUGGCUGUAUUUCUUUUAUUUUGAAAAAUAAUUUCUGUUGAUAUUAAGGACACUGAGAUUCCAUAAUAACAGCAAACGUUUCUAUAUGGCUUACUACUCUUUAGGGACUGUUUUAAGUGCUUUAAAUGAGUUCUCAUUCAAUCUUCACAACAGCGCUUUGAGAUAGACACUACCAUGAUCUUCAUUUUAUAGAUGAGGAAACUGAGGCAUACAGGGUUCAAAUAACUUGCUCAAUUUUGUGGAGCUUGUAUUUGAACCUAAGCAGCAUAGCUCCCAAGUCCAUGCUCUUAACAACUGCGCCAUCCUCUGCUUUUACAUUAGUUGUUUAUUCAAUCAUUUAUCCAACAAAGCUUUGUUGUGAGCACUGGAAACUCACAACAAUGGCAAGAAAUGGACAGUGUCCCUGCCCUCAGUGGAUUAUCCUCAAGUCUGAUGGAUAUAAUAGCCCAGUGCAAAGCAGGUGGUUUCUGUCCUGUGUUGCCCUAUGUAGAGCAAAUUAUUAUAAACCUCCAGGUAAGUCACUGCCAAAUUUCAAAGACUGUACUUUUCAUUACAAAUGUGACUCAUUGUCUUUGUCUGUUUGUGCAUUGCUAUGAGGGAUUACCUGCAGCUGGACAAGUUAGAAGGAGAAGAGGUUUAUUUGACUCACAGUUUUGCAGACUGUACAAGAAGCAUGGGGCCAGCAUCUGCUUCUGAUCUUGAAUCCACGUUGAUAUACUGGGAGCUGGUCUCGACAAUAAAGAAUCCUACAGGAAAUCCUAGUAAUACUGCAUAGGAACACUUUUGCUCAAAACUCCUCUCAGCACUUUGGAGCCCUGGAUAUCCAGCUGCCAGCAGGUACAUUUCUUCUUCCAUAAGUUUUCUCUGGCUGCCAUGGGAUUCAUCACUCCCGGGACAACUCAGUCAAUUACAGAUGGCGAGACCCUCAGAAGUGCAUCUGCUACGCUGGCUCCUGGAUUUCUCCAGCAGGCAUCCUAUCAUCAACGGAAGUCAAUUUCAUCCGCCUGAUGGGAAAACACCAUAUCCUUCUUAAAUGGAAUUGCCCCCUCUGAAACCGAUGUUCCAUACAAGCAAAUGACCAACUGUGCUGGCGCUGUCACAGGAUUAAAAAUGACGAUCCUAUCUCAUGCUUCUACCACUGCUCAUCAUUUCUAAGCCAUCAACAUACAGAAACCACUUGAUCUGCUUCUGAUUCGAGUCUCUUCAGGAGUGGAAGCGUAAUGGCCAGGGACACCAAUAGCUCACAGCUCCUGCACGCCUGUGAGGGAGGGAACAUCCACCCCAGAGCCUGGGAUCAACUCUGCUCUGCAGAAAUCGCCCUAAGAUAUUAAAUGUCCACAAAAAGCAGAUUGGAGCCUUGCUUCUCAGUGUUCUUCCUCCAAAGGCCUCUUACUUCCAGCAGCUGGGGAUCAGCCCCAACUGCCUCUGAAGGAGGAAAGGCCGAGUUGAUUUAGUUUUUGUUCCAGCUGGAUGGAGGCUUUGCUCUGACUCCAACUCAGAAGGAUGGGGCGCAGCCUGGGUGGGAGCAAAAAGGUUCUCUUCAUAGCCCUGCUGCUGGCGUGGGCUGCUCUUUUCACUCUCUGGACCUGUCUCCCCAUCUGUGGAAUGGGGCAAGGAUGCUGACCACCAGAUAAAUCUUUGAGAUUUAAUUUCCACGUACAAGACUUUAAAAUCCAGAGCAAAAGGGAUAAUUUGAAUAUAAAGCACUGUUAGUAUUUUGGACCCACUUCUGCCAGUACUCUGUUGUUCCCUGCUCUAGAGUCUUCUCCAGGGUUUCGUUCAGAAGCUGCUGCUGCUGUCUCACAAUACCCACAUGGCUCAGCCUCCAGCUCCCAGUGUCUGAGAAGGUGACUGUCCAUAUAGCAUGGGGACAGCCCAGUUUGCUGCACUGAUAAUUUUGCUCAUUAAUACUUGAAAAUACACACAGAGAUAAUGAUUUCUCAUAAAUACCGGGACGCUUUCUGCUUUAGAAUGAAAGCAAAAGACCUCCUUCACUGUAUGUCCCAUUACGAUGUAUGCAUCCUGGUCAUUUUACCUUUCUGUAAGAAACCCAAGGGACAGAGGGGCCAGAGGCUGUGCUGCUCCCAGUGGCUGCAGUGCUUGGAAUUUAUGAGGUUGGAAGGCUGUCAGCUAUUCAGGAUCACAGAGCUCAGGGGCUGACAACGGGAAGGGAGUCUCUUUACUAUUACCUCUCAUACAUUGACUCCAUAAAUAUCUUUUUUUAUUAUUAUUUCUGCUGUUUGUAGAUUUCAUUUAUGGAUGUGGUUAAUGCUGCAUCUGAAUGUUAAGGGAAUUACUAUCCUUGUUAAGAAUCUGACCUAUUGGGGAGAUUUGCUGAGGCUUUUCUCCCCACCGCAAUAAACACGUCUGGUAGAUGGCAAGGGGCUUAUUUUUCCCCUGGAUACCCUGGUGAGUAUUUGGGGGGAAUGACUUUUAAGAACCAGAGAGAGCAUUCCCUCCAACAUUUAACAUGCUUUGAUGUUGGCUGAGGGAGGUAAUCAUCCCUGCCUGUGCCUUAUGGGGGCGGAAGGGGAGCCCUGCUAUAGUGGCCAGGCUAUUUCUGUGCAUCUAUUCUCCAAGAACAAUGAUGGAGCUGCAAAGACAAACCCCAAAGCUGAGAGGGACCCAGUACACAGCAGGGGGGUACAACACCAGCACCCCAUAAAGCCACUGUCAGUGCUGUGCAAUAGACACAUCCUCUUCCUGUCCCAGGGAGGCAGGUCUCUGUGUAGAGUGGUGACCAGCUGCAGUUUGAGGGAUUCACUGGGCUCCUGGUCAGAGUAUGCCAGGCAAGGUGUGGGGAUCAAAGACUGGAUUCUUGAGAGAGGUUGAUUCGAUCCGUAGGACUAUGCCAGUCAUUUGAAGAGGCAGUUUUGGAAGGAUGAAGUACCAACCUAGUAUUCAAAAUCCCGACUGACUACUCCCAAUGCUCUUAAUAACAGUAUUUCAAAGAAUCACGGGGACAUGUGUGCCUGCAUAUGCGUGUGUGCCAGUGUGUUCAUGUGUAUGUAUAUGGACUUGUGUGCAUGUGUGUGUAUGGGUGUGUGCACCUGUAUGUGCAUGUGUGCACAUGUGUGCCUGCAUAUGCAUGUGUGCCAGUAUGUGCAUGUGUACGUAUAUGGACUUGUGUGCAUGCGUGCAUGUGUGUGUAUGGCCGUGUGCACCUGUAUGUGCAUGUGUUCACAUGUGUGUGCCUGCAUAUGCAUGUGUGCCGGUGUGUGCAUGUGUACGUAUAUGGACUUGUGUGCAUGCAUGCAUGUGUGUGUAUGGGUGUGUGCACCUGUAUGUGCAUGUGUGCACAUGUGUGUGCCUGUGUGUGAGAUUUCUCAGCCAGAGCGCUUUUCUGCCAUGCAUCUAACAGCCUACACCAUCAGCACAACAACCUCAAAACCCAUUCUGUGUUGUUUUCCUUCAGAUCUCUUCUUCAUUCCUUCCCCUUUUCUCAGAUAACCAUAUGCUCACUUGUCCAAACUGGAAACAUUGAUGUUUGCCUUAUGUCCUCUUCUCCCCUUUUCCUCAGCUCACAUCCAAUAAAUCACUAAGGCAUUUGGAUUCUGAGUCACAAAUCUCCUCUCAAAUCCUUCUGCUGUUCUCUGUUCCAGUUCCCAUAACCAUAGGGUGAUGAUUUUCAGGCUAUGAUUUUUCUCCUAACCUGGAUUACUGCAAAAGCCCCCUAAAGGGUAUGCUUGUUUCUAACCUGGACCCCCAUCCAUCUACGUGCAAUAAAGAAUGGCACUUGAGCAUAAUACCACCUUCAUUAGCUUCCUAUCACCUUCAAACAAAGGGCAGACUGUAUUACCUGAUCUAGAAGGAACUUUGUGGUCUGUUUCCUGCCACUUUCUCCUGUGAGCACCAGUGCGCCAGCCAUGUGCCAUUUUGAAUCACUUGCAGUUCUCAGACCACCCUCUCUUUUAUGGGCCAUUGUGUAUGUUUCUCCUUCUAUCCAGAAUAAUUUCCCCUGCUCUUUCCUUAAUUCUAAUUCAGCAUUCACGUAUUGGCUGAGAUGCUACCUCCUUCAGGAAGCUAAUUUUGUCCAAAGAUUGAGCAAAAUGCCCCUUCAAUGCACCCCCAUAGCACCUCAUGCUUUACCGCACACAGCUGCGCUGUGCUGUGCUGGAACUGCCUGUUGACUCAUUGGUCUCCCAUCCAGGAUGAUGAGCUUCUUGAGAGUAGCAGACACUGUUAUUUUACUCUCAACACAAAGUUUCAAGCAACUAGUCAGUAUUCACUUGCUUAUUUUAUAAAAACAUACAUGAGUCUUUUUACACCCAGUUUAAUGGUUUUCAACAGUACUGUUUCCUCUAUUUUUCUUGUUAUUCUAACCCUGUGUAUUUUGGGGUUCAAGUCAAUGCAUCUGCAUAGACCCACAGUUUUGUACCCUGCACAAAACUGGGAUUCACCUUACUCAAUAAGAAAAUAGGUUGCUAAUGUAGUGGGGCAGUAGUAUUUUCAACAUCAGUGAUAAUCAAUAUUUGCUGAACAUUGCUGUAUGCCAUGCACUGACCUAAGCUUACAUAUGUUAGUUCACUUAAUUAUCACCAGAACCCUAUGGAGAAGGUACCGUUAACACCCUAAUCUCAAAGAUAAGUUAACCAAGGUAUAGUUGAGUGAAGUUUAUUGAAUAAUUAGGAAAUGGUAGAGUUAGGACACAAGCCCAGGCAGACGAACUUUAGAGUCAGACUUUAAAUCAAUAAGCUCUGUUUUGCUGAGUUGAAAUUGAGCCCAAGUGCCCAAGGAUGAUAGACUGGACAGGGAAAAUGUGGCACAUAUAUACCAUGGAAUACUAUGCAGCCACAAAAAAUGAUGAGUUUGUGUCCUUUGUAGGGACAUGGAUGAACCUGAAAACCAUCAUUCUCAGCAAACUGACACAAGAACAGAAAAUCAAACACCGCAUGUUCUCACUCAUAGGCAGGUGUUGAACAAUGAGAACACAUGGACACAGUGAGGGGAGCAUCACACACUGGGGUCUG